RNAcentral lists this ribosomal RNA (433 nucleotides) under uncultured bacterium. RNAcentral's name for it is "partial 16S ribosomal RNA". It matches the Rfam family "Bacterial small subunit ribosomal RNA", at positions 29 to 507 of the family's 1533-position model. The record is from RNAcentral.
AGCGAACGCUGGCGGCAGGCUUAACACAUGCAAGUCGAGCGGACCUUUCGGGGUCAGCGGCGGACGGGUGAGUAACGCGUGGGAACGUGCCUUCCGGUUCGGAAUAACCCUGGGAAACUAGGGCUAAUACCGGAUACGCCCUUAUGGGGAAAGGUUUACUGCCGGAAGAUCGGCCCGCGUCUGAUUAGCUAGUUGGUGGGGUAACGGCCUACCAAGGCGACGAUCAGUAGCUGGUCUGAGAGGAUGAUCAGCCACACUGGGACUGAGACACGGCCCAGACUCCUACGGGAGGCAGCAGUGGGGAAUAUUGGACAAUGGGCGCAAGCCUGAUCCAGCCAUGCCGCGUGAGUGAUGAAGGCCUUAGGGUUGUAAAGCUCUUUUAUCCGGGACGAUAAUGAUGGUACCGGAGGAAUAAGCCCCGGCUAACUUCGUG